CCUACGGGAGGCAGCAGUGGGGAAUAUUGGACAAUGGGCGAAAGCCUGAUCCAGCAAUGCCGCGUGAGUGAAGAAGGCCUUCGGGUUGUAAAGCUCUUUUACCCGGGAAGAUAAUGACUGUACCGGGAGAAUAAGCCCCGGCUAACUCCGUGCCAGCAGCCGCGGUAAUACGGAGGGGGCUAGCGUUGUUCGGAAUUACUGGGCGUAAAGCGUACGUAGGCGGCUUUGUAAGUCAGAGGUGAAAGCCCACGACUCAAUCGUGGAACUGCCUUUGAGACUGCUUCGCUUGAAGAUGGGAGAGGUUAGUGGAAUUCCGAGUGUAGAGGUGAAAUUCGUAGAUAUUCGGAAGAACACCAGUGGCGAAGGCGGCUAACUGGACCAUUCUUGACGCUGAGGUACGAAAGCGUGGGGAGCAAACAGGAUUAGAUACCCUGGUAGUCCACGCCGUAAACGAUGAUAACUAGCUGUCGGGGCUCUUGGAGCUUCGGUGGCGCAGCUAACGCAUUAAGUUAUCCGCCUGGGGAGUACGGCCGCAAGGUUAAAACUCAAAUGAAUUGACGG
Molecule: ribosomal RNA, 561 nt
Filed under: uncultured bacterium
Lineage: Bacteria
Description: bacterial SSU rRNA
Rfam family: Bacterial small subunit ribosomal RNA
Source: RNAcentral